CGUGCGGCCAGCGGGGGGCGUGGUGUGCACGUUAACCCUGGCGUUUCUGAACCCAGAGCGUCCCAAGUCUUUCUCGGUGGAUCUGCAGCUCACAGGUCUACAGACUGGUUGAUUUUACCUCAUGUAUAUCAAGGAAGAUGCCAUGCCAAUGAUCCCUCUCUGGUGAAGAAGAGAAAAUUCACAGGAUUUCAGUAGAAUUUUGUAAAACUUUCUUAGCAUGCAUUGGGAACUAUGGGAAAUGCACUUGUCUACACUUGCCGAAGAUUGAAUUGAGAAAAGGAAAAUCAUCGCAGACUCAACACACAUUAUGAAUCUCAAGCAGGAUCCAUUCAAAGAAAACCAUACCUAAGCACAUUGUGAUAAAACUGCUGAAAACCAAGAAUGAGGAGGAAUCUUAAGAGCAGCCAGAGAAAGAGACGCAUCACUUUCAAAGGAGCAAUGAGAAGACCGAGAGCUGACUUCUCCUCAGAAACAGUGGAAGCCUACAGAGAACAGAACAGCUUCAAUCCGUCCUAGCCUGGAAUUCGGGAGCUUCACUAAAGGAAAUACUAAAAGGGUGUUUUCAGGCAGAAAGGAAUGGUCCCAGAUAGAAGCCUGAAGAGUUAAAUCAACAACAGGAAUAGAUAAAAAAUAGAUAUUCAUACAAGGGAAUACUCAAAAUGCAUACAUAUAUGAGAAUAUUCACGCGAUCCUUGUUUCUAACAGCCAAAAUGUUAAUAUCCAAAUGCCUAGCAACAUUCAUCCAUGGAGUACUAUACUGCAAUGAAAGUUAAUAAAACAGACUGACGUUCCCACCGAAGAUGGAGUGAUAAAGACUAGAUUUACUCUCCUGCCUGAAAUAACAAGAACAACAAUGGACAAAAUGUAUGAAUAAAGGUUGUCGAGGCAUUGGCUGUCAGGCCGUGAACGGGAUUCCGAGGGGCAGAGGUCACUGCGGUAAGCCCUACGAUUGCCUGGACAGAACACAGGGCAGGGAGAGGAACCCGGGUGAAGCCUGGAAGGCUCCCUGAGUUGAGGAGAUCGCGUUGGAGUCUGAAGAGGCUAGGUGGCCAGAGUUUACAGGGCUGAGUGCCAGAGAUGAGAGAGCUGCAGACAGAGAGAGUUCUGGAGAUUUUCAGAGGGUCUCCCUCAAGUGUUCCGCUGAGUGUUGAUCAAUGCAUGCACUGGGGCCCUGAGUCUGCACUUUCUACCAAUCAACAUGGCUGUUGUGAGCACCUACAAUGCACCAAACUCUGAGGAGGGAUGUGGGAAACCAGAGCCAAAGCAGGUCUGUUCCUGCCCUUACAGGGCUCCCAGUCCAACUGAGGAGAGAAAGCACGUGCCCCUGACAGACACACAGCGCCCACCUGGAGAGUCUAAGCUAAGAGCCAGAACGGAUCAGAAGCAAAUGAGAAGAGGAAAGAGGGCCAGCUGCUCUAACCCGCACCCCCCUCCCCUCCCCGACUCCAGCACUCAGCAGAUGCAGGGGCAUGGUGAUAUGGGAGAGACAAGCCAGCUCCCCAGGGCUCAGGCUGCAGGAUGAGUCCUAGCUGGGCCCUGAGGUUGGUGACUGGAGGAAGCAAGAAUUGCUGUCCCUGGGACAGGGCGAGACCCUGGGCCGGGAGAUGGAGCUGGUGUGUGAUCUCAGAGGUCCCUGCCCUUUCUGGGUCUGUUUCCUCAUCUGGCCCCUGGGAUGCUCUUUAAGCUCCUUUUGCUCUGAGGGAGGUUUCUGCCAGCUGAGCUCUGGGCCUCAGUUUCCCUUGCCUACAAAGGGACAAUAAUCC
RNAcentral lists this long non-coding RNA (1763 nucleotides) under Equus caballus (horse). RNAcentral's name for it is "lncRNA (ENSECAG00000056004.1)". The record is from RNAcentral. Lineage: Eukaryota; Metazoa; Chordata; Mammalia; Perissodactyla; Equidae.